This is an RNA transcript of Canis lupus familiaris (dog), 3516 nucleotides long. It is a transcript of the gene named transmembrane protein 144, with no coding region annotated. The record is from RefSeq and is a predicted model, not a curated record. NCBI's taxonomy places the organism in Eukaryota, Metazoa, Chordata, Mammalia, Carnivora, Canidae. The transcript has 15 exons.
CUACUUCAUAAAGGACAAUGACACUUCUACCUUUUUUAAUUUCUCACCCUGGGAAAAGCUGCACCAUGUCAUGAGAACAUUCAAGCAGUCCCAUGGCAAAGCCCGUGUGAAGAGGAACUGAGGUCUUCAGCUAGACCCAACUUGACAGUCGUAAGCUCUUGAAAAGGACAUCAAGUGUGAAAAGUGAACCGGCUUACUCGCAGGCAGCGCUGGAAUCAUGAGCAGUAACGGAACAGACCUAACCAUUGGUUUCAUCUGCUGCUUUGUAGCCGUCCUUUUGUUUGGCUCAAAUUUUGUACCGCUUAAAAAAUAUGAGACUGGUGAUGGAAUGUUUCUCCAGUGGGUACUUUGUGCUGCCAUAUGGUCGAUUGCCCUUGUGGUCAAUCUGAUACUACAUUGCCCUAAAUUUUGGCCUUUUGCAAUGGUUGGGGGCUGCAUUUGGGCAACAGGGAACAUCGCUGUUGUCCCAGUUAUCAAAACCAUUGGUUUAGGCCUUGGAAUCUUAAUCUGGGGAUCAUUUAAUACAUUAACUGGCUGGGCAAGCUCAAGGUUUGGUUGGUUUGGAAUGGAUGCAGAAGAAGUAUCAAACCCGCUGCUAAAUUACAUUGGAGCUGGAUUAUCAGUAGUAAGUGCUUUCAUAUUUUUGUUCAUCAAAAGUGAAAUACCAAAUAACACAUGUUCGGUGGACACCACACCAUUAAUGACAGAGCAUGUGAUCAACAGCAGUCAAGAUCCCUGUCCUGAUUAUUCCUGGGUGGAUAAACUUUCUAGAGCACAGCAGCGCACAGUGGGCUGCAGUCUUGCAGUGAUAUCUGGAAUACUCUAUGGGUCUACGUUUGUGCCAAUAAUUUAUAUCAAGGACCACAGCAAAAGAAAUGAUAGUAUAUACGCAGGGGCAAGCCAAUAUGAUUUAGACUACGUUUUUGCACACUUCAGUGGCAUCUUUUUUACAAGCACAGUCUACUUUCUGGCCUACUGUAUAGCCAUGAAAAAUAACUUUAAGCUAUAUCCUAAAGCAGUCCUGCCAGGAUUCCUGUCAGGAGUUCUUUGGGCAAUAGCCACCUGCUGUUGGCUCAUAGCUAACCACUCUCUCAGUGCUGUGGUCAGUUUUCCAAUAGUCACUGCGGGUCCAGGAUUUAUAGCUGCAAUGUGGGGUGUCUUCAUGUUUAAGGAAAUAAAGGGUCUACAAAACUACCUAUUGAUGAUAUUUGCAUUUUGCAUCAUCUUGACUGGAGCAUUAUGCACGGCUUUCUCUAAAGUCUAACAAUCCCAAAACCAGCAGAUGGCAGGAGUGGGUAAGAGGACACCGCUGCAGGGCUUGGCCGGAUUAUGCUGAGAACAGAGUUCAUUUUCAUACAGCAAAAGGAUCUCUACCCGUCUUGGACUGGGUUUGCUUCUUGAAUUCUGAUGUUAUACUACUUAGUUCAGAAAAAUUUAUUCCAGUUAGAUCUUCAUUACAGAAGGACGAAGGCUGAAGAAGCAGCUCUAUCUGGAAACUUCUGUUCUCCUGGAAGAAAGAAAAGGGAGAAAGCAGAACCAUGUGAUGGUGUUCAAAACUUCCAAAGUGAUGCCAUUAUUUCCACUCACAUUCACCUUUUCCCGGUCAAUGCCAGUGUCCCAGCCAACUCUGGUAUCAACAGGGUAAAAAGUAUAUUCAUUCAGCAGAGACAGGUUAAACAACUGAGGCACAAGGAGUUUGACUUGCCUAGGAACCUAGAGCUGAUAAGUGCCAGAGCCAGGGUGCAGCUCAGCUAGUCUGGCUUCAAAAUCCAUGCUUUUAACGCAUCCACUCCCUAAUAUUGGCUGCUCAUAUAUGAUCACUAGGGGUACAGAGUAUGUAUUGUACUUAAUGAAAUCAAUUAUACUAUUGCCUGAAAUGCCUCUAAUAAGAGGUAAACCUUUUAUUUCACAACUUAGAGUUAACAGGCUUACCGUCAAAUCCCUGGCUAAAAACAAGAAUUGUUUGUGAAUGAAAAACUCACUACAAGAAAGUCAGUCAACCCAUACAUGAAUUGAACUGGCUAUCAAAUCAUUUACUCAAGUAUUUGUCUUCACCGAAUACAAAUCUAAAAGACUUCCCAGUUUGGCCAAAGAAUGGCCUUGUUUAACUUCCACAGGGUGAGCCAAAUAGAAGCAGUGCUUGGUGUUAUUUGUCCUGCUCAGGAAUUUUGCUCUUCAAGAUUUAUGAAAGUUGUAUUUGUUAAUCAUUUAAAAGUCUUGCUCUCAGGGGAUUGUUUUAUUAAGGUUAUGUCCUUUAUCAUGUGAAAUGUGUGUUUAGUGAUUAGAAUAAUGUAUCAACUGACUCUUUUAAUCUGUAACUUUCCAAAGCACAAAAUUAAUCUACCUUCAGUUGGCUCAACAGGAAGCCAAUCACAAAGGGAAUCAAAGUUUUCAACUGGAGAUCAAACUUCUUUGAGUGAAAAAAUUAUUUGAAGGGAUGUCUACUUUUCUUUGAUAUAUAAUUCCGAAAUUGGUACUGCUAACAUUUUAAAAUUUUAAAAGAUUUGAAAAAAAAAGAUUAAAGUGUCAGACGAAAUUAAUAUAAUUGAUUUCCAAACAACUUGUUUCACUGUCAUCACAUGUUCCUUCAGUAUAGCAGGACUGCCUGUGCCUAUGCCGUAUCCUAUGCAAACAGCUGUGCUAGGCGGAACUUUAAAAUCGUCCAUGCUGUGAUGAUGUCCCAACUUCCACUUGAUAGAACAGCUAUCUGAUGAAGGACAACCAAUGAAAAUGCAGAUGACCCUUGGAUCAGAUUUAGAAUGCUGCUUCAACAAUUUACUAAACCCUACUAGUCUCUUAGGUGUGGACAAGUUAGAGUCGAGGUUUUGCUUGAACUGUGGCAGCGCAGCUUUGUAUUAGAAUUUACAUUAGAAUUAAGGUGAAGCAUCGUGCAGAGGGUCAUGUUCAAGACUUUGGACAUAAUAAUUUUCAGCAAUAGCUAAUAGGAAGAACAUACAGCUUGAUGUCAGAGAGGCAAGGGUUAAAAUCCCAAUCUGCCACCUACCAGUAGUGUGAUACUGGAUAAUUUAAUUAACUUCUCCAAGCCUCGGUUUCUUUAUCUAUUAUGAAGACCCGCUAUUUGCCAGACUGCCGAAGAGCACAGAAGUGGGGAUGGCAACGUUCCAGAGGCUGGUCACACAAAGAAGCAGAGAAUGAAUGCUUAAGCUGGGAGCCUGGAACACAAGGUGGUAUCAGUGGUCAUUAAAACGAAAAUGAGUUCACAAAAAAGGCCAAACCCCAAAUUGGUUUAACCAGGUUGUAAGGGACAAAGCAAAAAGUAACAACAGCUACAAUAAUGAAGUAGUGUCAGAUGCAUGUUAAAGUCACAACAGAAGAAAAGAUAAUGUGCCUGUCAGAACUCAAGGGGGUUUUUUGUUGUUGUUGUUGUUUGGUUUGGUUUUUUUCUGACUUCCCUGUGACAGAUUCUUCAUCCAGGACUUUUUAGAGGGUCUGAGAACCAUUUCUGACUAUGUGAAACUCAGUUUUCACAAUAUAAAAUAAAAAUUUUAAAUAUCA